Molecule: ribosomal RNA, 252 nt
Filed under: uncultured bacterium
Lineage: Bacteria
Description: partial 16S ribosomal RNA
Rfam family: Bacterial small subunit ribosomal RNA
Source: RNAcentral
ACGGAGGGGACUAGCGUUGUUCGGAAUUACUGGGCGUAAAGCGCGCGUAGGCGGACAUUUAAGUUAGAGGUGAAAUCCCACGGCUCAACCGUGGAACUGCCUUUAAUACUGGAUGUCUUGAGUUCGAGAGAGGUGAGUGGAAUUCCGAGUGUAGAGGUGAAAUUCGUAGAUAUUCGGAGGAACACCAGUGGCGAAGGCGGCUCACUGGCUCGAUACUGACGCUGAGGUGCGAAAGCGUGGGGAGCAAACAGG